UACGGGGGGCGCAAGCGUUGUUCGGAUUUACUGGGCGUAAAGGGCGCGUAGGCGGCACUGCAAGUCAGUUGUGAAAUCUCCGGGCUUAACCCGGAAAGGUCAACUGAUACUGCAGGGCUAGAGUGCAGAAGGGGCAACUGGAAUUCUCGGUGUAGCGGUGAAAUGCGCAGAUAUCGGGAAGAACACCCGUGGCGAAGGCGGUUCUCUGGGACGGUACUGACGCUGAGACGCGAAAGCGUGGGGAGCGAACAGG
This 253-nucleotide ribosomal RNA is filed under the name uncultured bacterium. RNAcentral describes it as "partial 16S ribosomal RNA". It matches the Rfam family "Bacterial small subunit ribosomal RNA", at positions 524 to 776 of the family's 1533-position model. The record is from RNAcentral.